GACGAACGCUGGCGGCGUGCUUAACACAUGCAAGUCGAACGGAAAGGCCCUGCUUUUGUGGGGUGCUCGAGUGGCGAACGGGUGAGUAACACGUGAGUAACCUGCCCUUGACUUUGGGAUAACUUCAGGAAACUGGGGCUAAUACCGGAUAGGAUCUCCUGCUGCAUGGUGGGGGUUGGAAAGUUUCGGCGGUUGGGGAUGGACUUGCGGCUUAUCAGCUUGUUGGUGGGGUAGUGGCUUACCACGGCUUUGACGGGUAGCCGGCCUGAGAGGGUGACCGGCCACAUUGGGACUGAGAUACGGCCCAGACUCCUACGGGAGGCAGCAGUGGGGAAUAUUGCACAAUGGGCGGAAGCCUGAUGCAGCAACGCCGCGUGCGGGAUGACGGCCUUCGGGUUGUAAACCGCUUUCGCCUGUGACGAAGCGUGAGUGACGGUAAUGGGUAAAGAAGCACCGGCUAACUACGUG
This 468-nucleotide ribosomal RNA is filed under the name uncultured bacterium. RNAcentral describes it as "partial 16S ribosomal RNA". It matches the Rfam family "Bacterial small subunit ribosomal RNA", at positions 28 to 507 of the family's 1533-position model. The record is from RNAcentral.